Long non-coding RNA from Oryctolagus cuniculus (rabbit), 1737 nucleotides. The record is from Ensembl. NCBI's taxonomy places the organism in Eukaryota, Metazoa, Chordata, Mammalia, Lagomorpha, Leporidae.
AUGACUGUUACAAUGAUCCCCCUUCUUGAAGGGUCACAUUGCUCUCAGAGAAUUCAAAAACAUUGUUGCUGCAAGAGAAGCAUUCUCCCAUGGAGCAGGUCUAGGCUUUGUGAGAUGUGGGCUGAGAGUUCCAGAGUCAUGAUGAUGUCACAGGACACUGUUUUACAACACUGCUAUUAUGUUCACUUGAGAGUCUUCUAUAUGUCAUGUUACCUCUUUACCACUAAACCUGAGAUGAACAGCUUCUAUGCUUGGUGCUUACGAAGAGAUCAAAGGCAGAGACUGACACUCAUCUAGAAAAUCUUCAAGGACCUAAAAUAGACGAAAUUACGAAAGGCCAGAAAGUCUUGGUGUUUUCUUCUAUGAAGAAAAUAACAAAGUGAGACAUACGACCCAGCAGGUUGUAAAAAAAGACCAUUAAUUUUUAUAGGUCAGUGUAACGUACAAAUAUGUGUCAUUUUUUUAAUUUCUAUUUUUCAUUUUCUAAUGUUAAGCUGGUGGGAGAGCUUAAGGAAACAGCAAGAGAAAAAUUGGGGACUUAGAGUCCUGAACCUUUAUAAGUCCUAGCAAAAUGAUGAUGGUGAUUAAAAUGUUUAACUUUAAAAAAAUCCUAAAUGUAAUUGUGAUGUUUAAAAAUUGUUCAGUUGUUAUAAAUCUAAAUGAAUUUCAUAUGAGUAGAAGUAAAGAAGAAGCCAAAUAUGGUCAUAUGCUAGACCCAGGUAGAUCACCCUUGACACUAUUAACAUUUUGGGAUAGAUACUUGGUGGCAGCCAUUCUGUGCAUCAUAGAAUUAGAAGCAGCAUCUCUGGCCUCUUAUUGAAUGCCAUUCUCACUACACUCCCAAGUGAUGACAAAAAAAAAAAAAAAAAAAAAAAAAAGUCUGGGACAAUGACACAGUUCCCUGGUCAAGGAGUCACCACCUAGUUGAGAAUCACUAUUCUAGGCUCUAUUUGAAAUUUAAAUCUAUAAAAAUAUUACCUACUCCUCAAGGAGUGUAACAUCUACUGAGGGAGGAAGAUUGGCUAUAAACUUAUUUUAGUUUACCCAAUUCAAAUAAGACUACAAGUAGUAUCAGGAGAGAAAUUUCAAUGAACUUUUUUGAUAGAACACUAAAAAAUCCCAGAGAGAAUGAAUUUGGAAGAAAAAUCAAGAAAUAUUGUACAGGUAGGGUAAAAUCUGACUUGAAAGGUGAUUAGACUAUCUAUCUAUCUAUCUUUCUAUGUGUGUAUGUGUGUGUGUAUAAGAGAGAUGUCAAAAGUUAGAAAAUAUAUUAAGUGUUUGAGAAAUGAAAAAAUCCAUUGCAAUCAACUUAUUUUAGGGUAAAUGAUAGGAGGUUGGAAAGAUAGGCUGAACGAAUAUUUAGAAAGAGAUUUAACAGUAAGGCGAGAAGUUAGAGUUUUCCUUUUCUUCCACCAAGCACUAAAGUACUAAUUGGUAUAUUAGAUCCCAGUGAAAAUAUUCUUACUUUAUGAAUAUAACUUUUAAAGUUUUAACAAACAAUUAUAAAACAAUAGUAUUCUACUCUCCAUUACUUAGGUAACAUCUUAAAAACCAUAUAUCAGGUUAGUGAUGGUCUACAAAUGGCAAGUCAUGCAUCUAUAAUGAUAAAUGGAAAGCUUCAGGAAUGUUAGCCUCAUAAGUAAUUUAAUUUCCAAACAUGGUUUUCACUUUUUUUCUAAUGAAAAGAUGAGUAUUUGAAGCAAUAAAGGUAGAAAAUUAUCUCUAAGAUGCUUAUGA